UGGAACUUGAAUUAUAAUUCCAUUUUGAUAAAACUGUUUGUUUUCUGAAACGUCAACAGUUUCCAUGGCGUCAAAUUGAUCAUUUUCUUUCCCUCACUGGAGACUGAGAGGGGCUCACCAAAUUGCUGUGGUGACAGGGGGGAAGGACCAUGGAAAUCCACACAGCCCAAAUUGAGUUAUGAUUGCAAGUAGAGCACAAAUACUUCUUCUUCCUCCCCAGAUAUUAGUUAUGAUUGGGACUGCAGGGAUGGCUGUUCUGUAAUGGACAUCAGGGAUGGAGAGGCCACCAGCCUAAUUCUACUCUCUGGUAUAGCCCUGUUGUAGGCUGCAGCAGACCGGCUCCGUCCGUAGCCCAGAGAAACACCAUCAUCCACCGAAGCCAAGACGGACACUCCUCACAUUGAUUGUGACUGAGACUGAAAAUAAUUCUUACUUUAAGCACUUUUUCCUCAUCAGUGGGUGGGUGGACAGCAUCAUCACUUUGAGGAUUUGAUAGCGCCAUGUCUCUGUGAGAGAUCCUAGGCGCAAUCACUUUACCAGGAGGGUAUUAUGACAGAGAGAGAGUGCUGAUGUGGUGAUAGUCCAGGCUUUGACAGGCGAUGCUGUGUCUGAAGUCUAUUCCUCUGAUAGUUCAGUCUAGGGUGCAGUGUUUUGUCAGCUAUUCUUCCUGGUGAUAUGUGGAUGCCCUCCUCCGAUGCACCUUAUACUCUGUCGGAGCUUGAUAUGAGUGAAUUGGGUGUAGCCAAGGUCUGACAUGCCAAAAUGGUGAUUCAUAGGACAGGAUUACUUCUCCAGAGAGAAGUUGCCAUUUGCCAUCUCCAGGUCCCUCAAUCGCUUAAUAAAGCCCUCCUCUGGCUGUUCCCUGGGACACUGAAUCAAACCUGCCUGCUGGGGCUCACAACUUUCAGUGAAAAUCAUGUAUACAGCAAUUCAAUCUACACUGAACAAAAAUAUAAAUGCAAUGUAAAGUGUUGGUCCCAUGUUCAAUGAGUUGAAAUAAAAG
This is a long non-coding RNA of Oncorhynchus tshawytscha (Chinook salmon), 1003 nucleotides long. NCBI's taxonomy places the organism in Eukaryota, Metazoa, Chordata, Actinopteri, Salmoniformes, Salmonidae. The record is from Ensembl.